GCACACGGCCUAGCAUAUAUAUUAAAAUUGGAUGAUACAAAGUAGAUUAGCAUGCCUCCUGUGAGAGGAUGACAUGCUGAAAUGGAAAUUCGUGCUCCAUAUUUUU
Molecule: small nuclear RNA, 106 nt
Organism: Macaca fascicularis (crab-eating macaque)
Lineage: Eukaryota; Metazoa; Chordata; Mammalia; Primates; Cercopithecidae
Source: Ensembl